This 275-nucleotide long non-coding RNA is filed under the name Mytilus galloprovincialis (Mediterranean mussel). The record is from RNAcentral. Lineage: Eukaryota; Metazoa; Mollusca; Bivalvia; Mytilida; Mytilidae.
UCCCCAUUGAAGGAAAUGUGCAAUAAAGCGUGAUAUCAACAACUUUCAUAUACUUUUAUUUGUCAGCGGUAUGCCAUAGUUCCGAUAAUACAAACAAAACGAAUAUUGAUGGGUUGCUGUUUCACUGACAUUAAUGACACAUACCUAAUUUCGAGAUUAGAAUUUUGAUCCAGAAGUGCGAGUCGUAUCAACAUGACUAACCGAAGCCUAAUUUGACUGUUUUAUAAAUACAAAUUUACAAAAUACGACUUCGAUCAGCAUUUUGAUACACAACU